This 377-nucleotide ribosomal RNA is filed under the name uncultured bacterium. RNAcentral's name for it is "bacterial SSU rRNA". It matches the Rfam family "Bacterial small subunit ribosomal RNA", at positions 28 to 407 of the family's 1533-position model. The record is from RNAcentral.
GAUGAACGCUAGCGGCAGGCCUAACACAUGCAAGUCGAGGGCAGCACGUCUUCGGAUGGUGGCGACCGGCGCACGGGUGCGUAACGCGUAUGCAACCUACCUCUUACAGUGGGAUAGCCCAGAGAAAUUUGGAUUAAUACCGCAUAGUAUACAGAUUCAGCAUUGGGACUGUAUUAAACAUUUANGGGUAAGAGAUGGGCAUGCGUUCUAUUAGUUAGUUGGAGUGGUAACGGCACCCCAAGACAGCGAUAGAUAGGGGCCCUGAGAGGGGGAUCCCCCGACACUGGUACUGAGACACGGACCAGACUCCUACGGGAGCAGCAGUGAGGAAUAUUGGACAAUGGGCGAGAGCCUGAUCCAGCCAUGCCGCGUGCAGG